CUGGACGUGUUCACAUAUGACAACAAGUUCACUAUUUGUUUCAUUCGUCAAUUGUAAAAUCGGUGGGCGCAUUAAGUUGAACUAUGAUCCUGUCUUGGUAUAUGGAAGAUGAGCCAGUCCGGCUAUCUAGCGGCACGGGCCACGUCUCCUUUUAUUCCCCUAUGAAGCCUCGCGAUUUACUGUAGCACUCCUUUUAUUCCUUUAUGAAGCCUCGCGAUUUACUGUAGCGCUUCGGCGAGAACAAGUCUCGAGCGCUCUCCUCUCCCUUUCCCCUCGCUCGCUUCCUCCUCCCUCACCCGCAGAACCCUAGCCGCCUCCUCUCCUCUCCCCUAGCCGCCUCCUUCCCUUUCCCAGCUGCGAGGGAGCAUUGCGUGAGCUGCCCCGUGCUCGACGUGCACGUCCUCAGCCCCCGUGCCCCUCCGCUCUCUCCUCCCCUCCCUGUCUCCAACCCUAAACUUUUCCCUCUCAACCCCGCAGCCGUCUCCCCUAGCUCCUCGUCCCCUUCACUCGUUCCAUCCCUCCUCAUCCCGGAUCCAGCGGAUCUGAGGAGUGCGGGCGCGGAGCCGAGUCUCCCCGACGGCGGCGGCGCUCGAUUUGAUCUGCAAGAGAGAGAGAACAUGAGAAGGGGAGAGAGAAGGAAGGAGAGGAGGGACGCCACCGUGGAAGAGCAGGGGCAACAUGGUCUUCGUGGUGGGCAUGGAGGAGCAGAGGAGGAUGCUGGUGCGGGGUGGGGUCAGAGUAGCAGGAGUUCCAGGUGACGCUUGCGUCAUGCGCUCUCCUCUCCCUUUCCCCUCGCUCGCUUCCUUCUCCCUCACCCACAGAACCCUAGCCGCCUCCUCUCCUCUCCCCUAGCCGCCUCCUUUCCUUUCCCAGCCGCGAGGGAGCAUUGCACGAGCUACCCCGUGCUCGACGUGCACGUCCUCAGCCCCUGUGCCCCUCCGCUCUCUCCUCCCCUCCCUGUCUCCAACCCUAAACUUUUUCCCUCUCGACCCCGCAGCCGUCUCCCCUAGCUCCUCAUCCUCUUCACUAGUUCCAUCCCUCCUCAUCCCGGAUCCAGCGGAUCUGAGGAGUGCGGGCGCGGAGCCGAGUCUCCUCGGCGGCGGCGGCGCUCGAUUUGAUCUGCAGGAGAGAGAGAGCGUGAGAAGGGGAGAGAGAAGGAAGGAGAGGAGGGACGCCACCAUGGAAGAGCAGGGGAAACAUGGUCUUCGUGGUGGGCAUUGAGGAGCAGAGGAGGAUGCUGGUGCGGGGUGGGGUCAGAGUAGCAGGUGUUCCAGGUGACGCUUGCGUUAUGGUGGAGUGGAGGAGCUCGUCUUACAUCAUCACCAUCCCCAAUCUAGGUUGCUCCCGCCUCCUCCUUCCCCUGGUUUUUAUGGUCAUGUCAACUGGUACUCCAACUGGCACUGAGACUGAGGUAAUGGUGUGGGAAUUGGGGCUGCAAGGACGUGAAAAUGGCCUAGAAGAGAGUUAGCAAUGGCAUGCGUCCUCAAGUAAUUUCUUGCCAAUGCAGAGCAAGACAAAAAAACCUAUUGUUGCAUUCAUAGUUGGACUUACUGCACCCCCGCUCCGUCGCAUGGGCCAUGCUGGAGGUGUUCACAUAUGACAACAAGUUCACUAUUUGUUUCAUUCGUCAAUUGUAAAAUCGGUGGGCGCAUUAAGUUGAACUAUGAUCCUGUCUUGGUAUAUGGAAACAAGAUACCGGCAGUUUUUACGUUUCCAGAUUGUUUAUUACUCCCUUUGUAAAGAAAUAGAAGAGUGUUUAGAUCGCUACUAUAGUGAUCUAAACGCUCUUAUAUUUCUUUACGGAACUGCCACACACUCACACAGGUUCUUGGUACUCUCUGUAACCUGCAGAUGAUGGGUGGCGAAUCCGGAAACCACAGAUCCAUUCCCCUGCAUAAUUUUCGUUUUCUCAUUUGAUUUGGUACAAGGCCUACUCAGAAUGGGUUCCCUGAUCUCAAAAUUGUCAGUUUUCUUGCCUUUAGUUUAUAGGUACCUUAACAAAUACAUGUAUUUACCAUAUUGGCAGUCAGCACCAUAUGGCAUUCAUUCUUCAGGAUCUCAUAUUUGAGGUUAGCAAUUCGAAGUAAUGUGAGAGCUUGCAUGUUUAUAGUUCUAACUAGCUUUUAGUUUAGCGUAGGAUAAGUCUUUCAUGAAUUCUUAGUUGGUUGUUUAUUUUUGCUGGCUAUGCAUGACACUGCAAUUUUUUCAUAAUUUUCUUCAAAAGUUAACUAUUUUCUUAUCUGUAAUUAACUGGUUGUUGCUCCUAGCCGUUAGCAAGUCUGUCGUCCCUGGCCACCCUGUCAGUCAUCUAUACAACUGUGGUUCAUGCCUGCGUGCUAUCCACUCCUAAAUUCUCACACCAUGUCAGGUGUUUACAAGUGAUGAUCAUUGUGGUCUUUAGUUGUCAUGCCUGUAAUCCUAGCGCAUGGGCUUUCGCGGGCUGGUCCAACCGGAGUUGGUUGAUGGCAGGGGCUGCGCUCCGGUGACCGUAUGGCUGAAGAAGGGAUGCAAAUGGAAAGAAUUUUGAGAUGCAUAAACUCCCGUCUUUGAAUCAGAAACAGAAAAUUGUUAGUUUUCUCGUUUCUUAGUUAUGCUACCCUGCUCCACGUAGGUUUUACAGUGAAAAGCUAAAGAAGUUGUGACGGCGAUAAAAGGACUGAAAGAUUUGCUCGAAGCAAAGACAUCGAGCCGAGAUACAUAUGGAACGAAGAGGAGGGAUCUUUUGUAGAAUAUGCGACAUCCAUGGUGCUGAAGGUGUGCUAUUAAGUCUCAGUUGCUCCUGCAAAAUAGCAUCUUAAUAAACAAAGGAACAAAGAGGAGGGAUCUUAUGUAGAAUAUGCGACAUCCAUGGUGCUGAAGGUGUGCUAUUAAGUCUCAGUUGCUCCUGCAAAAUAGCAUCUUAGUAAACAAAGGAUAUGCACCGCCAAGCAGUUUGUUGUGUAUUUUUUCCUUCCAACCUUAUUGAUAUGCAUGUUGCUCAAGGUGUUUUUACUUGUUUACCUGAUUAACAAAUUAAUAUAAAUUUAAAACACAGGUUAAUAAAUUUACCGCAGUCCUUGCUGAAAUCUGUAUUAUUAUGUGUUGACUUUCCUUUGAAUAAUAUAAGCUGGUCUUGUUGCCGCAAAUGAUUGGAUACGCUAAAUUCUUUUUCAUGCAUACAAGUUGAUUUGGUUAUCCUGUAAUACAUUAUUACGUUUAGUUAAAAAUUUAUGUUUUGUAAUUCAGAUAGGAAACAAUGGUAUGUGAUAAUGCCCUUGCUUCUGACAGAGCCUCUUUUUUUAGUCAUUCAUAGAUGUGUGGGAGGGCUGGUUGUCCACCAUUUGAUGAUAGUAGAACAGUUGUAAUUAUGACAAGAUGAGGGGCAGUAUUUUUUUCUAUGUUUUCCUCCCGUUAAUACUGAAAUACAUUUGACAGGAUUUUUUCCUGUUUUUGGUCUAACCCGCCGUAAGUUUGUCUCGUGGGUCCAUCUAUAUGAGAACCUUCUCAGUGGGUGUCAAAUGGUGGAGUCUCAGUAUGUUCUUUUAAGUUCAGUUGAAAAGUUCUUACGUGAUAUUUUAACUGAAACUUAACUAUGCCAUGGAUGGUACUUCAUUUGAGACUCCUGGCUGAGUAUAGAUACUAUGACCAGACCUUCGUCUUGAUUCUUAAUGCCUUCUUCGUUUUAGUCUCCAUCUACAUGUGCAAUUCAUUAUUUUCCUAGAGAUGUCUAUAUAACCGUAUCAUGCAUUUUUUUCUGCUAUGUAAAUAGCACUUCCCUUGGCUUUGGCGGUGGUGGUGCAGGAUUCGUCGCACGCCAAACAGAGCACCCGAGGAGAAGAGGAGAAUGCUCUGAAGAGAGGAAAUGAUAUGUUUUUUUUGUUUUGUUUUAAGAGCUAAGAUAGGAGUUGAUAUGUAGUCCCCUGACUUCUAUACUGAUCCACAACACUUCACAAAAGAGUAUAUAUCAACAUCGUAUGCUACAAAAAAAGCAAAGUAAUCUUUUUUA
Long non-coding RNA from Triticum aestivum (bread wheat), 3985 nucleotides. RefSeq lists it as uncharacterized. The transcript is spliced from 5 exons. NCBI's taxonomy places the organism in Eukaryota, Viridiplantae, Streptophyta, Magnoliopsida, Poales, Poaceae. The record is from RefSeq and is a predicted model, not a curated record.